GGAGACGUCCGAUAGUGGUUAUUCGAGCGGGUUGCUAACCCGCGACUCGAAAGAGUCUCGUGAGUUCGAAUCUCACCGUCUCCGCCA
This 87-nucleotide transfer RNA is filed under the name bacterium. Its description in RNAcentral is "tRNA-Ser". It matches the Rfam family "tRNA". From Rfam's summary of the family: Transfer RNA (tRNA) molecules are approximately 80 nucleotides in length. The record is from RNAcentral. RNAcentral also lists the same sequence under 3 other names.